UCCGGUUUGUCACCGGCAGUCUCCCUAGAGUGCCCUUGCGUAGCAACUAGGGACAAGGGUUGCGCUCGUUGCGGGACUUAACCCAACAUCUCACGACACGAGCUGACGACAGCCAUGCAGCACCUGUGUUACGGCUCCCUUUCGGGCACGCCCACCUCUCGGCAAGCUUCCGUACAUGUCAAGGGUAGGUAAGGUUAUUCGCGUUGCAUCGAAUUAAUCCACAUCAUCCACCGCUUGUGCGGGUCCCCGUCAAUUCCUUUGAGUUUUAAUCUUGCGACCGUACUCCCCAGGCGGGCAACUUCACGCGUUAGCUGCGGUACCAAGGAAUUGCUCCCCCCAGCGCCUAGUACCCAUCGUUUACGGCGUGGACUAC
This 373-nucleotide unclassified non-coding RNA is filed under the name uncultured Gammaproteobacteria bacterium. RNAcentral's name for it is "contains 16S-23S intergenic spacer region". The record is from RNAcentral. Lineage: Bacteria; Pseudomonadati; Pseudomonadota; Gammaproteobacteria.